This 424-nucleotide unclassified non-coding RNA is filed under the name rhizosphere metagenome. RNAcentral describes it as "partial ribosomal RNA internal transcribed spacer region". The record is from RNAcentral.
GUAGGUGAACCUGCGGAAGGAUCAUUAACACGUAUCCAAACGUUAAAACCCCCCUGUGAACCUUCAACACCAAUGCAUCCUGCACACGUUCACGGGUCAACCCCUAGUAAAUCAUUGUCUGAAUCAGAUUUUGAGUUAGGGGCCUCCCUUCAGAGGUGCGGUCGAGCGGUUUAGCAUUAGAUACGUCCCGGCGCUCCCAAGUGGCUCCAUUGAUCUGAAAGCGGUCAUUCGGGUUGCGUAAGAGUUGGCGCAGUAAACGAUCGUUGGGCCCACACAGCCCAGCGUCCGGGGCCUCUCCGCGGUUACAAUCGGCGGCAAGGGAUACGCACGGAGCUUAUCUCAAUGACGAGAGAGACGGCCGGCGCCGAAAGGUUGUAGGCAUUUAAAAAACGAACAACUGUUAACAAUGGAUAUCUUGGUUCUC